RNAcentral lists this ribosomal RNA (460 nucleotides) under uncultured bacterium. Its description in RNAcentral is "bacterial SSU rRNA". It matches the Rfam family "Bacterial small subunit ribosomal RNA", at positions 28 to 507 of the family's 1533-position model. The record is from RNAcentral.
GACGAACGCUGGCGGCGUGCCUAACACAUGCAAGUCGAACGGUAUCAUCCUUUCGGGGGUGAGAGAGUGGCGAACUGGUGAGUAACACGUAGGUUAUCUACCCUCAAGACGGGGACAACCCAGGGAAACUUGGGCUAAUACCGGAUGUGAGCAACUUUUAGUUGUUUGAAAGGUGGCGUAAGCUGUCGCUUGGGGAUGAGCCUGCGUCCUAUUAGUUAGUUGGUGAGGUAACGGCUCACCUAGGCAAUGAUAGGUAGGCGGCCUUAACGGGUGGUCGCCCACACUGGGAUUGAGAUACGGCCCAGACUCCUACGGGAGGCAGCAGUCGAGAAUAGUCUACAAUGGUCGGAAGACUGAUAGUGCGACGCCGCGUGAACGAUGAAUCCCUUCGGGGUGUAAAGCUCUUUCGACGGGGAAGAUAAUGACCGUACCCGUAGAAGAAGCCACGGCUAAAUUCGUG